GAGUACUGCUUUCAAAGAUACUUCCUAAACACAUGGUGGGGAGUGUGCACAGGUGUUUUAAAAAUGCAUGUAAAUGUAAUGCUGGUAGAGGAGGAAGAGGAGAAGGAGAAGGAAGCUGAACUGAGUCCAUUCUGAAGGCUCAAAGAUGCUUACAGUACAAUGAAAAAGAUAAUAACAGAAACAAGAGAAGAAGGGAAAACAUUUGAGUAAAGAUUGGGUCUCUCUCUCUCCCCACCAUAUGUUCUAUCCAAUCCUCAUUAGUGACCCGAAUAGAAGGAGAGGGACAAGUGUCCUUCAGUUCACAUCACUGGGCAUGCCUAAGCUUUAAAUACCUGCCUGAGUUGGAGGAGAAACUGACUCAGCCAUAUCUUAUUCAGCUACUGCUCUUCUCUGCCAGGUCAUUCGUGGGUGAACAGGGUCACAGUGAUCACCAUGAUGACCUGAUGUGUACUGCAAUGCCAUGGAUGGUCAUGGAAGAGGUGAUACCCAUGAAGGAUGGCUAUGGAGGAGGUGACAUCCUUUGCAGCCCUCUUCAGCUCCACCAAACUUGCAUAGAUGGAAUUCCGCAUCCCUGUCUCCCUGCCUUUCAUGAAGCAGACUGGCAGGCUUGAUGCUGUGUGAGAAGUGGGCAGCCAGGUACCAGCAGGUCUCAAGCAAGGACUGCAUCUCAAGGAGGGCAGCAUGCCGGUUGGCUUUCACAGUGCUCCCCAGCCCUUGAGCAGUAGGCUUUCGCAGUGCUCCCCAGCCCUUCAUCACAAGCUGAAGCACAUAUGCCAGACAGAUGAUGCCUUUGAGGUGCACACAUUUUCCCCAGAAAGCACUUUCCUGGAGGGACCGUUAGAAGAGAGUCAGCCAGAGAUCUCCUGUGAGCUUGGUAUCUCUAGCAUGAUUUGGCAGCUAAAAGUUUGUGACAGUUUGUAGUUUGCAGACUGGUGCACCAAGAACCAUGUACUGAAUCACAUUUUCCUGGUUUGUGCCCAUCCCUAUUUAGGAAUGCUGUCAGAAUAAACACAAAUAUUUAAAAACCUGA
This is a long non-coding RNA of Heteronotia binoei (common prickly gecko), 1030 nucleotides long. RefSeq lists it as uncharacterized. Lineage: Eukaryota; Metazoa; Chordata; Lepidosauria; Squamata; Gekkonidae. The transcript is spliced from 4 exons. The record is from RefSeq and is a predicted model, not a curated record.